Molecule: ribosomal RNA, 420 nt
Filed under: uncultured prokaryote
Description: bacterial SSU rRNA
Rfam family: Bacterial small subunit ribosomal RNA
Source: RNAcentral
UAAGGAAUAUUGCUCAAUGGGAGAAAUCCUGAAGCAGCAACGCCGCGUGGAGGAUGAAGGGCUUUCAGCUUGUAAACUCCUGUAAAGAAGGAAAAAAUUCCCAUUAGAUGGGAAAUGAUGGUACUUCUAAAGUAAGCCCCGGCUAACUACGUGCCAGCAGCCGCGGUAAUACGUAGGGGGCAAGCGUUGUCCGGAUUUACUGGGUGUAAAGGGUGCUCAGGCGGAUUUGUAAGUCAGAGGUGAAAUCUCACAGCUUAACUGUGAAACUGCCUUUGAUACUGCAAGUCUAGAGUAUGGAAGAGAGUGAUGGAAUGUCUGGUGUAGCAGUGAAAUCCGUAGAUAUUAGGAGGAACACCGGUGGCGAAGGCGGCUACCUGGACCGAUAUUGACGCUGAGACGCGAAAGCGUGGGGAGCAAACA